Molecule: long non-coding RNA, 275 nt
Filed under: Homo sapiens (human)
Lineage: Eukaryota; Metazoa; Chordata; Mammalia; Primates; Hominidae
Description: antisense to TMEM5
Source: RNAcentral
UGGUAUUAUAUUUAAUAUUGGGUUCAAUUAUUAUACAUUUUGAAGACACAGCCUAUAAAUUCACCUCUCAUUAAGGAAAGGUGUUAUAAACACAGAAAUAGCCCAACUUUUAUAUUUUAAUACUUUUUUUUUUUUUUUUUUGAGACAGGGUCUUGCUCUGUCACCGGCUGGAGUGCAGUGGUGUGAUCUAGGCUCACUGCAGCCUUGACCUCGCAGGCUCAGGUGAUCCUCCCUAGUAGCUGAGGCAGGAGAAUUGCUUGAACCCAGGAGGUGGA